GCCAAAAAUCUAGCCCGUUAAAACUUUAUAAGCCCGCACCAUUUUGUAAAAUAAACUAAAACAUUCUACCAUUCUAGUAAAGGGGAUUAAAAAAAUUAUAAGAGCAAUAGAUAUAGUACCGCAAGGGAAAGAUGAAAUAAAAAUGAAAUAAACCUAAAGCAUAAAAAAGCAGAGAUUACAUCUUGUACCUUUUGCAUCAUGGUUUAACUAGUCCAACCAAGCAUAAAGCUUUAUAGUUUGACCCCCCGAAACUAAGCGAGCUACUUCAGGGCAGCCUUAUGGGCGAACCCGUCUCUGUUGCAAAAGAGUGGGAUGACCUUCAAGUAGGGGUGACAGACCUAACGAGCUUAGUGAUAGCUGGUUACUCAAGAAAAGGAUUUUAGUCCCACCUAAUGCUUCCAUUAAAAAUUAAAAUUUACCCCAAGCCUUAGAGCAAUUCGAAUAAGGUACAGCCUAUUCGAAACAGGAUACAACCUUUACUGACGGGUAACUAACUAAACCACUCAACUAAGUGGGCCUAAAAGCAGCCACCUUCAAAAAAGCGUCAAAGCUUAAUUGAGAGAUCCAACUAAUCCCAUUACCCCUUAUUAACCCUCUUUUAUUAUUGAGUAAUUCUAUACUUCUAUAGAACCUAUUAUGUUAAAACUAGUAACAAGAAGCCAAACCUUCUCUGAGCUGCAAGUGUAAAACAGAAAGGAUAACCCACUGAUAAUUAACGUCUAUGAACUAAUAUUAGCAACUUUCCUCAAGAAAAUCCUAAUUCUUCUACUUACGUUAACCUAACACAAGAGCACCCCCAGAAAGAUUAAAAGAAAAAGAAGGAACUCGGCAAACAUAAACCCCGCCUGUUUACCAAAAACAUCGCCUCUUGAAUAAAAAUAAGAGGUCCAGCCUGCCCAGUGACCCUAGUUCAACGGCCGCGGUAUCCUAACCGUGCGAAGGUAGCGUAAUCACUUGUUCUUUAAAUGAGGACUAGUAUGAACGGCAUCACGAGGGUUUUACUGUCUCCUUUUUCUAAUCAGUGAAACUGUUCUCCCCGUGAAGAGACGGGGAUAGACAUAUAAGACGAGAAGACCCUAUGGAGCUUUAAAUUUUAUUUCAACUGCUUUCUUCCCAUAACCAGUCCCGACCUCUUUUACCGAAUCAAGCACUAUGAUAAUAAAUUUUAGGUUGGGGUGACCGCGGAGCACAAAAAAACCUCCGUAUUGAAUAAAGGCCUUCAGCCCUGAGCAAAGAGCUACGACUCCAAGCACUAAUACUUUAACAUCCAUUGACCCAAUAUUUUUGAUCAACGAACCAAGUUACCCUAGGGAUAACAGCGCAAUCUACUUUGAGAGCCCCUAUCGACAAGUGGGUUUACGACCUCGAUGUUGGAUCAGGGUAUCCCAGUGGUGCAGCCGCUACUAAAGGUUCGUUUGUUCAACGAUUAAAACCCU
RNAcentral lists this ribosomal RNA (1436 nucleotides) under Ololygon sp. KAV11. RNAcentral's name for it is "partial 16S large subunit ribosomal RNA". It matches the Rfam family "Bacterial large subunit ribosomal RNA", at positions 23 to 2597 of the family's 2925-position model. The record is from RNAcentral. Lineage: Eukaryota; Metazoa; Chordata; Amphibia; Anura; Hylidae.